RNAcentral lists this ribosomal RNA (489 nucleotides) under Triticum aestivum (bread wheat). Its description in RNAcentral is "partial small subunit ribosomal RNA". Lineage: Eukaryota; Viridiplantae; Streptophyta; Magnoliopsida; Poales; Poaceae. The record is from RNAcentral.
AUGAGACUCCACAUGGUCCUGGAACGGCUCUCAUACAUGGGGUUCGGGCUACUUCCACCAGUGCUUCGCUUGCCUGAUCUCUCUUCUAGCUCUCAUACGGGUUAUCGUUCCACGAGAGCAACAAAAGGAGACCAAGAUGGUGGACAACAUCGGUCCUUCGCUUGCCUGAUCUCUCUUCUAGCGCUCGGAAAGGUGCAUGUCCACAUAAGAUCCAUGCCAUACUUCAAGACCCUCAUGUACUACCUGACCAUUGUUGUGAUCUUGUUUGGGAUGUCGUAUAUCGUUGGCGUGCUGAUCACUUUGGUGCCAUCGAGCAAGGUGGUGCAUCAGCUCUUCAUGCUUCUCCAGGUUCUGAGGGCUGAGAAGAGGGAUGCCAGAAACAUCUACAUGUUCAGCAUCAUGGGCAAGACGUUGACCACCAAGGAGAACAGAUGUCUCCUGCGUCAAGAUGGAGCGCAAAGUGCUCGAUCAGUUGGUCUAGUCAGGUAG